UAAAAUAUAAGCUGAAAAUUAAAGUGGAAUCACAUGGGUUAUAGCUGAUGAGUGGGCUUGCUGAUUCAAUUAGUGAGCUGGAGGUGGCAUUAGAAAGCCUUAGCAAGACAUUAAGUUAUCAAUCAAACAUGAGCUGUUUAAGUAUCUUGCUAUUUCCUCUGCUAUCAAUCAAGCAUUACCAAAGAAAGACUAAAAGAAGCUAACGUAAAGCUAUGUUCCCAAUCCUGUCUCUUUUCAAUUCUCUAUGAUCAAGCGCUUUUAAAAAAAAAACUUGUUAAACCCCUUCUCUAUUCUGUCUAUAGCAGCAGUCGGCCAACUAAUGUUGUAGUGUAUGAAGUUUCGAGCAUCAUUAGCAGGAAUGCUACAUAAAUUGAUCCUUUUACACGGAAAAAAUCACCUAAUUCAAGUGGGUUUAAGGUAAGUUUUUUUUUAUUCAUACCUAUUGUAAUAAAAAAAAAAGAUUAGUAACAAGUGUGAUAUAUUAUAAAUUGGGUUAUGAUUGAGUUGUUGGUUGGGCUACGAAUUGUAAGGAGAUCCUAUGAAGGUAGAAUAGAGUGAAAAGGUUGGAAAUUUUUGGUUAGAUUCAUAUUUAAACACAUGAAAUCUGACUUUUUAAAUCUUGUAUGCUAGAUGUUUGAUGAAAUGCCUAAACAAGGUUUCCAAGCUUAAAAACGAAUGAUUACCCAAGGCUUGGAACUAAAAGACAUUUGAAUAUGUAGUGUGAGGUUUACUAAGCUAAUCAGAGGAACUAAAUCAGUUUGAAAAGCGAUGGAAUGAAAUUAAAUCAAAUAAAUUUCCUUAAAAAGGGUAUGAACCCUGAGUUUUGAGCUUUUAGUUAGGUGUCUUAAUAAUGUUGUUAAAGACAAAACUUGGAUGACAAAUGUACCUUAUAACAUGGUCUCGAAGUAGGAACAAAUUUCAAGUCAUUUGAACUUGUAUAGCAAACGUUACGCUAAUCGUUAGGAGGCUUGAAGAAACAAAAUCCGAAAAAAAAUUGUGAACUGUUGACACUAAGGACAAAUUCGGGGCUUGCUAGAGUUUCAGAAACUUCUGGGCUUUUGGGGUAUUAUAGUACAUUGAAUAAGCUUUCCAUAGACUCCUGAAUGGACUAAUUCCGACUUCGGAGCAAAGAGUUAUGACCGUUCAAAGUAGUUGCGUCAAAACUGUCUAACAAACUCGGGGCAGUCACUUUGCACGAAUAUUCUGGAAUUCUGUGUGUUUGAAUUUGGAAAUGGUCAAAGAAUAAAAGUUGUAGCCCCGGAAGUUAGCUUCGCGUGGGCUCAAGAAUCGCUUAAAAAUAUUGAGAAAUGAAGGAGUUAUGACCAUUUUAGGGAAGGAGGGUCGUGCAGUCUAAAAACAGAACAUUCUGUCCACUUAGAGAAGAUUUCUGUUCUGUUCGGUUUGGAAUUUGGAUUUAUGAUCUGAAGAGAAGUUGUAGUCCCGGAAGUUAGCUUCGCGUGGGCUCAAUAAUCGCUCAAAAAUGUUUUGAAACGAAAAAGUUAUGGUAUUAGGGAUUGAUUUCGCAACAUUGCUGUAUUGAGGGAAAGGUGUCUUUUGUACAUGUAAUAUAAUGUAAACUAAACUGAUUAGAUGAAUCAAAGUGAGUUUAGAACAAAUUUAGGAGAAUUGGAUCAAGAUUGUGCUCAGUUGGAAACUGUUGUGACUGAGUACUUUUAUGCCCAUGUAAAAGCAGUUUAUAAUGCUCUUUUUGAUUGAGUAAUAUUUUUACAAAAUAGUUUGUAGUACCAUGUUUUGCAUAUUAAAAUUUGGUACCAAUCGGAUGCUUAGAUAUAGAGUUAUUAAAGCGCGAAACGGGCUAGUAGUGAUGAUUGGCUGCAGUAGCAGAGUGCAGCAAGUUGCAGCAGAAGCACGCAGCAAGCUGCAAUGUGCUGCGUUAUUUCUCGGCGUUCCAAGUUUAUUUUUGGCACGAGUCUUGAUGCGAGAAAAAUAGUAUGAAUUAAAAUUUAUAAAACUAAGAUAUUAUAAGUUAAUUAACUUAUAAUAUUAUUAAUAAAUUAAAUGAAAAUAAGUUAUUUAAGCUUGAAAAUACAAGUUUGAAUUGAGAUUUUUACGGUGCAUUUACAUUAAGAAAUAUAAUACGCUUUAUGCAGUGUAAUAUGAACAAAUUACCUAUAUUGAAUAUAUUGUUUGGGUUUAAAUCAAAGUUAAAAGAAUAUGUUUCAUUGAGUUAUGUAAUAACCAUAUGUAUGUUACGUAGGUACUUUAUGGAAUCAUAUCGCUUCGAGUUCAUGUAACCGUUUAGAAUCGAUAGAUGUGCAUCACGAAGGCAAGUCUUCCAGUUCCAAUUUGUAUAUGAAUUUGAAAUGAUUACAUGGAUUACAUGUUAUACUUGUGGAAUUAUGAAAGUCAACUAUUGACUAAAUUUGAUUGAGUUUUUAAAACUCAGUCUUGAUUUGAUAUUUGAUAUGCAUGAGAUACAAAUGUUACUUAAAUUGUAAUAAUCUUGAUAUGAUAUAAGCAUGAUAUUAUGUGCUAUGUGAAGCAUGAAAACUGUUAGACUUGUUGGGCCGUAGUGCUCAAUCUUGCAAACAAUUUUGCAGAUAAAUGUUGAUUUAUCAGACGGUCAUAACAACGAAGAUUUGUGAUGAGACAUGAGUAUUAAAGAUGUAUUACUUCAUCAAGUUUAGACUGUACCGAGCUGAGGCUACUUGCUGUAAAGUGAUUUAAUUGAGUAGUGUAUGUUGUUAUACCCAGUAAUUAUGCUGAAUAGAAAUAAUCUUUUUGAAUACGAGAUGUAGCUUUACUAUUAUUUUGUAAAGUAAGUUACUAUAAUAGCAUAGAAGUACAUGAAGUGGGGAAUAGCGAAUAUACAGUUAAUGAAUUAUGUCACGAAGAUUCAGGGAUGAGUAAAGUUAGAAGUUUGAACCUUACGUUCAAAUGAGACAUUUCGGAAUGGGUCUUUAUAUUUAUAUAAUCCUGAAUAUGGGUAUAGAUUAUAAUAGUUGCGAAUUCUGGAACUAAGAAAGUUUAAUAACUAAAUUUUGAUAUCUAUAUUGAUAUUGACUGUGAUAUACAGUAAGAAUAAAGUUGAAUCAUGAUAUAGAUUCACGAUAUGAUAAAGUUGCAAAAAUAUAAUUUUUUCCAUGUUUGAAAUGUGAUAUGAUCUCUAGCUGACCAGAUGAUAACGAUUGGAAGACGUGCAAAGGAUAUCUCUUCUUUAUUUAGAAAUUGUAGAGAAAUAUAGAUGAGGAUUCUCAUGAUUCUAGAUAUGACUAAAAGAACUAUGUACAGUUUGAAAUGUUUAUUGAAUAAGGAAUGUUUGUUUGAAGAGAGGUGAGUUGUAUAUAUUCAUAUGUUACUUUGAUAAAAUAAAUCAUAAAAUAAAUAUGAUUCUAGUAUAAAGAAGAAUUGUAAAGGUUGCGAUUCAGGUAAUGAAUGAAUGGAAAAAAAAUAUUCCAUAUUUUUAGCUAUUUUAACAUUAAAUAAUGUUUUAAAGCUAGAACAAGAUAAUAUUAACGCACAAGAUCGGGAAGGAAAAAUAGUCCCGAUUUUGGGGGCGUUACAGAUUCACCGAAAAACACAAAGAAAUCUCUCUAAUGUGUAUAAUAUAUUUAUCAAAAUUUAAGUACCUCUCAUUCAACCCACAAGCCGGGUUUAUAUAUAGCUAAUAAAACUUUAUCUCCAAGUCACGAUAGAAUAUUCCUAAAGAUAUGAAAAUAAAAAAAUAGAAAUAAAAUCCUCCUAGGGAUGUGAAAAAGAUUCUAGCAAACUUCCUAAAAAUACGGAAAUAAAAUCUUAACAAAUAACAACUUGCUAAAUAUAAAAUAUUAUUAAUUAAAGAACUAAUUAAUAUUAAUAAUAAUAAAAAUAAAAAUAAGGUACAUCGACUUCCAAAGUUAUGACGCCUCUUCGGAAGAGGUUCGCCACAUUCGAAGUCGUGUUGUCAUCCGAAGCCGAACCCUGACCGAAGUCGAACUCUGACCCCGAAGACACGGUCAUGACGCCAUCCGAAGCCGAACUCUGACUCCGAAGACACAAACCGAACGCUUGACCCCGAAGUCAACUGAUACCUUUGCGCCAAUCCCUUAACUUUUGGUCCUUUAGCAUCGUCAUCGUACUAUCCGACCAUUUAGGAUCUUUUCGGCCAGAAAUUCUCCUGCAUUAGUCUCUCCGUGUUAGAAAGAACUCGUCCUUGAGUUCGACACAGAUAGAAUGGAAACUAUUCGAGAAAAGGCUUCGGUAACUAAAAUAUUUUCCUUUUGAUUCUAUCUUGGGACAAGAUAUAUCUGUUGUUGAAUGCCCCUCAUCGCCGAUAGUCCUGAUGGAAGCUCUUCGGGCAAUUCCUGUACAUCGACUGACACUUCAGUGCUUUCAGCCGCUCCCACAAGGAAGUAGGACAUACACCAUAUCUUCACAAUCGGUCUCCGUUAGGAAUCUAGUCAUGGAUAAUAGGUUUGGACUCCCGACUGCUCGAGCCGAACUGUCCUCUUCUCGUCGAGGCGCUAGUACAACCUUAUUUCUUUUAAAACGAAGGGAAUACGUAUUCUUCCGACCAUCAUGAAUAACUCUUCGGUCAUAUUGCCAAGGUCAGCCCAACAACACAUGACAUGCGUCCAUUGCCACCACAUCACACAAAGUUUUAUCAAAAUAUUUAUUGCCAAUAGAAAAAGACGCAAAGCACUUUUUAUCCACUCUUACUUCAUUACCUUUUCUUAACCACGACAACUUGUAUGGUUUAGGAUGCCGAUCCGUUUUCAACUGCAAUUUCUUCACAACCUCUUCGGACAUUAUGUUCUCACAACUGCCACCAUUAAUGAUUAACUUGCAGACUUUAUUUGUUAUGGUGCAAGUUGUUUGAAAGAUAUUAAUACUCAACCAAUCCUCUUCGGAAUCACCUUUAUGAUUUGGUAGACUCUUGCGAACGAUCAAGGUCUCCCUGGCUAUCUUCAUAUGAUCCAUUCUUCUCUUAUUCGCCAUCAUCAUAAUCAUCAUACUCAGGUUCUCCAUAAGGUUCUCCUUCAUCUUCAUAUUCGUCAUAAAUUUCUUCAUCUUCAUAUUCAUCAUAAAUUUCUUCUUCAUCUGCAUAUUCGUCAUAAAUUUUUUCUUCAUCUACAUAUAAUUCGUCAUAUACAGGUUCUUCAUACUCAUCUACUUCUUUAUCAACCAACUGUUCUUCAUCAAAAUCGAAAUUAAAAUAAAAUUCCUCAUCACGAUCAAGGUGCGAGAAAUAUUUCGGGACUUCCUCGGUCGGAUAUUGUCCGCGAGAAUAAUACCCUUUCUCGUCAUGAUCAAGGUGUGGGACUUCCUCAGCCGGAAACUGUCCACGAUAGUGAUCAAGGUGUGGGACUUGCUCACACUCAGAUCCCAUUUUUAAGGUGAAUUGAAGGUAUCAUAGAAAUGAAUACUAGUAUUAUAGUUAUUGAAAGACCUAUUAAUCACAUGCCUUAACCGGUGAAGAAAUCUAUACAUGGCAUAUUCGGUUAUGUUGGAUUGGUCAACACGGAUUCCACGCCGAGAGCGAGGGCGGGGCGACCGUUAAAGAAUUACUUAUACACUAAACAACUGCUUAUAUACGCUUACUAAUAUUAUCAAAUUCCCACAAUUUAAGUAGAUCCGAGAUCUAGAAAAUAAUUAGUAUAAGCUUAUUUAGUUUGAGUAGUUUAUGAGAUAUAUAUUGUGUGUACUCAAUAGUUCGCUCAGGUGGACACUGAUUCUACAGUCAUAACAAAUGAAAAGAACAAUUUGUGACUUCGAAAAUUAAAAACUAGGCUGCAGACAAUUUCUAUGAGGAGUAUAUAACGAAGUAGAAAAUGAACACACCUGGGCACAAAAACGGAUAAGCUCUAUCGCGACAGAUGCACUGGAAUUUCCCUGAAUCCUCAUAAUCCGACCCGCACAACCCACUAGAAUUCACACAAGCUGAACAUGCUACUGCGUCAAUUAUAUAAUCCAAAACAAAACCCUGCUUGAAUAGUUCCACCAUUGUCAUUGACACAUUAUUCCUUAAUUCCUGAAAAACUGAUAGAAUAACAAUAAACUAGAAGGAAUAAAGUGUGACAUGUUAGAUCCACUUCAUCAUCAUUUUCUUUAAGAAAAUCAAGUGUGGGCAUGUAAACUUCAUGUUGAAAGAGAAACACCAAAAUUCAAUUUCAAUAAGAUGAGGAAAAAGAAAAGAUGAAACUGGGGAACUUAAAUUAUAUAUAUAUAUAUAUAUAUAUAUAUAUAUAUAUAUAUAUAUAUAUAUAAAAAACCUCUUUUGGCAACAAACAAUGAUCCUAAACUAGUAUAGAGAACUCACCAUGAAACUAGAGUUGUGUGACAACCCAAAAAUUUAGAAGAUCUUGAAUGAUUAAAUUAAGGGUUAAAGUUUAAAACCUAGAGUGGAAAUAGAGUAUUUAUUUAAAAAUUUUAAGAAAAAUCUAAGGAAAUGGUACGUUGAAAUGAUUCAACGAUAAGGUUACGAGAAAGAAUAAGAUCUAAACCGAUUAAGAAUGAUUCGGUAUUGUGAUUCCGGAGACGGAAUCUUUAUAAGGGGGAAAGAUUGUGAUAACCCAAAUUUUUGGGUAAUAUUUAACAAAGAAUUAAACAAAGAAAAUACUUAUUAAAUAAUAUGUUGUGUGAUAUUAUAUUGCAUAGGUGAGUAAGAACUACGCAAUAAGUGAUGUUUAUGUUUAAUAAAUAUAUUAGUAUUAUAUAUUUAUUAUAUGUAAGCAAAAUGGUAGGAGAAAUUUAUUAAAUAAAAUGAGAUGUGUAGAAUUAAAAUAAUCUAUAAUAUUAAAUUAUUUUAAUGUGGUGAAUUGGUGGCAUUAAAUAAAUACUUAAUGUAUAACCACCCUUUUAUUGAAUAAAUCAUGUAUUAUAUUAUUGGAUGUAAUGUAUGUAUGUUUUUAAUGUAGUACGUAUAUUAUUAUAUUUAUUACAGUUAAAUUGUUGAAAACAAUUUAUAGAAGGGAAAAACAAGUAAUUAGUAUACAAGAAUUAUUGUAUACUUUAAAUAAAUGAUAUUAAAAUAAAUUCUAGAGUUGAAUUAUUUUAAUAAAGAAAAAAGAUAUUAUAUUUAUCUUAAUAUCUUAAGAAAGUAAAUAAAUUCUUAAUUGAAUUAUGAUAAUGAAGUAAGGAUAUUAUAUUAUAAUAUCUUGGGUAUGUAAAUAAUUAUAUUUACAUAAGAACUUAUGUGUAGCAUAUUUAGUUUACAAUUAUAAAAUAAAUAUGUAAUUUGAAUAUGUUAUGUUAUAUUUUAUAUAAUUUAUAUAUCAAAGAUAGGUUAUGUAAAUUAUAUGAUUCCAAGAGGAUAAAAUAAAUUAAGGAAAAUUAUGUAGUAACUUAUUUAAUUAAAUUAAGUUACUAAGAUUGAGUAAUUAAAUAAAGUAUGGAAGUGAAUUAUGAAAGUUAAGGGUGAAUUGUGCGAGUUAAGAAAACCUUAGGGUUAAAAAUCUAAUAUUUGAAACUUAAGAAAAUAUAUUAAAGAAUAUGAUAAGGAAUAAAGAAUAUUCCGAGAAUAUGCUAAUAAUAUGCCAGGGGGUGAUUUACAAGUUUUUAAAGACGAGGGGAAUACUAGAGAAGACUUAAGUUAGGCGACCAACUUAGAAAAAAAAAUUAAAAGUUUCUUUUAUAGAAACAAAAUCAAAAUUUAUCUAUAUUCAUUUUUUUAGCCAAAAUGACUAAGUUUAAAGAGAGAUAGAAUAAGAAAGAAUAGAGUAUAAAGCAAAUAAGCUAAAUGGAAUUGUCUUUUCCCUGUUAAGACAUCACCACUCCUUGUUGCACUCUCCUUUCCAAUUCAGUACCCUCAUUCUCUCUUUUCUCCUCAUGGUUCCUUCCUUGUUCAGCAAUAUUACUGAACCCCUUAUCUCUUAUUAUAACUUCAUGUAGUUCGGGUAUUAAAGCAAAGGAAGGAUUAAUAAAGGGAUACAAUUGAGCAACAAGGUAACCCAAUUUUCAUGUUCUAUAACUUGUAAUUAUGAAAUUAGCUAACAGUAAAGUAAAAUUGGUAACUUGAUUUGGGUUAAUUAGUUUUGAAUUAUAUAAUUAAUUCCUAGUGACUGUAAUUCGUAUGUGAUAACUUGGAUAAGUAAUAGUUGUUGUUAUAUGAAUUAGAAAAAAAAGAAAAAGGGUUUAGUAGUUGUUGUGCAGAGAAUUAAGGUUGGAGGAUUUCCAUGGUGAAAUCCUAGCCAAACUAUAAACAAAUGGCUAUGAAAAUCUGAAAAUUAAGAGAUGCACACUAACUGUUUAAUAAAAUGCCCAAAUAAGGUUUCCAAGCUUAAAAACGAAUAAUUACUUGAAGCUUGGAACUAGAAGACAUUUGAAUAGGUGGUAUGAGGUUUCCUAAGUCCAUUAGUGGAACCAAAACAAGUUUGAAAAGCAAUGGAAUGAAAUUAAAUCAAAUGAAAUUUCCUUAAAAAGGGUACGAACACUGAGUUUUGAGCUUUUAAUUAGGUGUCUUAAUAAUGUUGUUAGAGACCAAACUUGGAUGAAAAAUGUACCUUAUAACAAGGUCUCGAAUUAGGAACAAAUUUUAAGUCAUUUGAACUUGUAUAGCAAAAGUUACGCUAACCGUUAGGAGGCAUGAAGAAACAAAAUCCGAAAAGUUAGUUGACUGCUGACCCUAAAAGAAAAAUUCGGGGAUAUCUAGAUUGUUCAGAAAAUUCUGUUCUUUUGGUAUGUUAUAGUACACUGAAUAAGCUUUCCGUAAACUCCGAAACGGACUAAUUUCGACUUCGGAGCAAAGAGUUAUGACCGUUCAAAAUAGUCGCGUCAAAACUGUCUAACCAACUCGGGGUAGUCACCUUGCACGAGUUUUCUGGAAUUCUGUGUUUUAAAUUUGGAAAUGGUCAAAGAAUAAAAGUUGUAGCCUCGGAAGUUAGCUUCGCGCGGGCUCAAGAAUCGCUCAAAAAUGUUUUGAAACGAAAAAGUUAUGACUGUUUUAGCGAGAGAGGGUAGUGCUGAAACGGAAGUGAAAACUGUUACGAACGUCCAUUUCGGAUGCGUUAUUUGAACCAUCCAUCGAACCCAAAAUAGUUGGCUAUAUUUUUCUAAAAAUAGUCUCAUAUACCAAGUAUGUCAUAUUCGAAAAUCAACACAAUAUAAUGUGUGAGCUAGAAGUAAUAAGGUAGCGAAAUAAGCAUGUUGGAACAGGGCUGCUGCCCACGGCAGCAGCAGUGGCUGUGUUUGGCGAUGGCUGGGGGCUUUUUUGGGCUCUCAGUCAACCCAUUUAAAUUACUUGGAUUGUUCAACUAACAUUCUUCCAUAAUAGGUGACUGUAUCACCUAUAGAAUAUUCAAAAAUUAAGCGUAAUCGGAUUAAUAAAUUGUAAGCUAUCAUCUAUUUAUAGAAUUUAUGAAAAAUUGAAGAACAUAAUGUUGGGAAUUGUUGUUAUUGCUAAAUUACACAAGAAUGGACUAAGGAGAAGAAUUAGCUUGAUUAAUAUUGGUAAUUAAGGCUAUGGGUAAUUGUUAUAAGUGCGAGAAUUUCUGUAUUGCAUAAUGGUUGCAUUAAAAUCAAGAAACUAAGAAAUGACAAGGUUAACUUUGAAGUUCGUAAACUAACUUAUGUAAAUAUGUAUACAUGUAUGGUUUAUAUUGUGAAUUGGUCCUUAUGGACUAAAUUAGAGCUUUGGCGUAUAGUUUUUGUUGUGCGGAGCAAUAAGGUUGGCAAAAAUGGUUUGAUUAUGUAACCCAAACUUAUAGAAAUCAGUCCACAAAAAGGAUGCACGCGCGAUGUUCGUUGAAAUGCUCAAAAGGGCCAUUUUGGCUAAAAUUACAUAAUUUAAUGAAGCCGAUACUUUAGACGAGUCUUAUUAUAUUAAAUAAGACUUAUCUGUAAAGCAAGUUGGGUUGGAACGCGUCGAUGCGAGUUUUGACCUCUAAACGCGAAAAUUGAAAAUUUGUGACCAUAAAGAGUAAGAAUGAUUAAAAACUUGGAAUUUUACGAAGCCGAGACUUUGGACUCGUCUUAAUAUGUUAAACAAGACUUAGUUGUGAAGCAAAACGAGUCGGAGCGAACCACGACGAGUUUUGGCUUGUGAACGUAAAGUCUAAAAAAUAGCCUCUACAGCCUUUUUCGGCACACUGUUUGGUCAGUUUAGAAAACUUAAAUUGCUGAGGUUAUAUUUUUAAAAAAAAACUUUGAUAUGCCAUGUAUAACAUAUCCAAAAAUAGGAUCAGUCCGAUAAACGAGCAAGGCGUGUGAAACUCGCAAAAAGGGGCAGCAGCAGCAUGAGCAGCAGUAGCAGGCCAGCGCGCGAACGCCGUGCGGCUGGGCAACUGUCUGACAUGCUUUUUGCUCGCUGUUUUGAUUGGCUUUCGUGGUUCCUUUUCGCGGUUAGAAAUUUUUAAAAAAAUACUAUGACAUAAGAGCUCCAACAUACCAAGAAUUUGUUGCGAUUCGAGUUAUGGUUUGAGAAUUAAAAAUAGGUAAAAAGGCAUGUCAGAACUAACAUUUGAGCAACGUCGAGUGUCGACACGCCGGGCUGUUUUGACAUUCGUCGUUCCGAAUCGCGUUCGGGCGAGAUUUUAAGCAAUGUUAAGUCUAAUAAAGUCCCAAUAUGAGAGUUUUGAUGUUUUUGAUAAAUUUAUGCCACGAAAAUUUAUUCCGAGCAUAAAUAAUGCAAUAAAAAUAUUAUAAAAAUAUGAAAUUUCAUUUUUAAGCAAACGGAAGCCGGUGAUGGUAUGAAAAAUGGUUUUAUAACGAAACAAAAAGUAUGGAACCAUUAAAAAGUUGUAAUAAUCAUAAAAGUGAUGCAAUGAAGAUUUGCAGGGAACAAAAUGGAGUUUUUGAGCCAAGAUUUAUAUAUACUUAAUAUAUGAAUAUAUAUAGUGAAAAUGUGAAUAUUUGCAAAACGAAAAAUGCAGUAAGUGGGUUAGCGGGAUAUAAUGUUUAUAAAUGAGACAAUGGUUCGAGUUGACUCAGGUGUGGGCAAAAUAAUAAUAUAAAAAUUAUUUAUAUUAAAGGAAAAAUAUAGGAAAUUGAAUUUUACUAUAAAAGCUAUUUAUUAGCUGUUUAAGUUCCGAAUUAAUGGGUAAAGGCAUAAGAUAUUCCUAAAGUAGAAUAUAAAUGAUUGAAGCUUCAAAAUGUAAAAUAUUUACAUACUAAAAUGUGAGGGACCUUUAUUUGGUAUAAAAAGGUUGAAACGAAUUAAGUUUCUAAAUAAACUAAUAUUCGUUUUGAGUAAGAAUAAAUAAUAUUAGUUUGUAUAAAACUAAUAAUUAUUAUUGAUGAAUAUACAUGCAUGUUUUGUAACAUAUUCAAUUAUCUAAUAUGUGUGUACAUGUAAAUAUAAUUCUGUAGGAAUUGUGGAGAAACUCUAGGCUAACUUUUGUGGUAAUCUCCAAUUAAGGCAAGUUUUUCAGUUCUAUUAUGUUUGUGGAUUGAAUGUGACUAUGUGGUGAGUUAUAUACCAUGCUUUAUGAAUUGUUACAGUCAAAAUAUGACUAAGUUAAUUGGGUUAUGGAACUCAAUUUAUAUGUGAUAACACAUGUUGUAUAAUGUAACUCGAUAAAUUAGAAAUGUAUAAUGCAUGAAUGUAUAUUUUGUAAGAAAUUAUUGAUGUAUGCGAAUAUGCGUAGUAAAGGAAAUAUAGUGCAUAUGGAAUUGUGUUCUAUGUGAAACAUGAUAGACUGUUAAAUUUGCUGAGCUAUCGAGCUCAAUCUUGCAAACACAAACUUUUUGCAGGUUAAUGAUGUUGAGCGAUAUUACUUGCUAUACGGAUGAUGAAGAUUGAACGAUGUGCAAAAAUGAAUACAUUUCUUUGAAUUAGAAAUGGUAUAAAGCUAUGAUUGAUAGUUUUGCUAAAUGUAAUUGACAGUUAUGUAUAGUUUGAAAUGUUGAAUAAAUAAAGAAUGUUUAUUCUGAAAUGAAAAUAGAUAUGAUUCUGAAAUAAAUGAAUCAUCGAUAGAAAGCUAUGAAGUAUUGAGACUUAAUCUUUUAAUACGUUUACUCAG
Molecule: long non-coding RNA, 11897 nt
Filed under: Panax ginseng (ginseng)
Lineage: Eukaryota; Viridiplantae; Streptophyta; Magnoliopsida; Apiales; Araliaceae
Description: long non-coding RNA (PGIN_LNC008574)
Source: RNAcentral